RNAcentral lists this long non-coding RNA (1191 nucleotides) under Macaca fascicularis (crab-eating macaque). RNAcentral describes it as "lncRNA (ENSMFAG00000048482.1)". Lineage: Eukaryota; Metazoa; Chordata; Mammalia; Primates; Cercopithecidae. The record is from RNAcentral.
UUUUUUUUUUUUUUUUUAGAUGGAGUUUCUCUCUUGUUGCCCAGGCUGGAAUGCAGUAGCAGGAUCUCGGCUCACUGCAACCUCCGCUUUCUAGGUUCAAGCGAUUCACCUGCCUCAGCCUCCUGAGUAGCUGGGGUUACAGGCGUGUGCUACCACGCCUGGCUAAUUUUUGUAUUUUUAGUAGAGAAGGGGUUUCACCAUGUGGCCCAGGCUGGUCUCGAACCCCUGACCUCAGAUGAUCCACCGGCCUCGGCCUCCCGAAGUGCUGAGAUUACAGGCGUGAGCCACCUUGCCCGGCUCUCCUGUUUUUCUUGAAGGCCUGGAGGCAGUGCUCAGGCCUGCAGAAGAUGAAAGUCGCAGAAAGAAUCAGAAUUCUCAAGUUGGAAGGAAUUUUGAGAACAUCUCAUGCAAAGCUCAGCAGAGGUUUGGGGAAGUGACUUAGAAGCUGGGAUGGAGCCAGGCACCAUGGCUCCUGGCUAUAAUCCCAGCACUUUGGGAGGCUAAGGAGGGAGGGUCGCUUGAGUUCAGGAGUUUGAGGCUUCAGUGAGCUCUGAUUGAGCCACUGCACUCCAACCUGUUUGACAAAGUGAGACCCUGUCUCAAAAGAAUGAAAAGAAGCAGCAGCAGCUGGGAUGGAACUCAGCCUCCUCACUGUCAUCCAUGUCAGCUUCACGCCAAGCUGCUUCCGUAGUAGAGCAGUGGCCCUUGACUUGGCUGCUCAGGCUCCUACAGGGCACCUGGUGGGCCUCAGGCAUCCACAGGCCCCUAGAACAAUACGUGCAGGUGCAUUUUAGGGGAGAGAAGAUCCAUGGCCUUUAUCGGCUUCUCAAAAGGAGCCGCCAUUCAAAAGGAUGAAGAGCUUCUUUGGACUCUGUGCUGUUGUGACUAAAUGGGGGAAGGGAAGGUGCUGCCCACCUGCAUUUGGUGUAUACAGCCGGCCUUGAGACAUGAUCUGGGAGUUUCCUUGGCCUCAGGGCUCUGGCCAGCCCUUAUUCUAGCCUGGUUCUGCCAGGGGAAACCAGCUUACACGUCCCAGCCGGGAGCAGGGAGUGGGCCUUAGUGUGGGUGGAGGGAGUCUGUGGGCUUUGGCACUCUGGUUCCGAUCCAGAUUGGGUGGAGGCUGAAGGUUUUGUGGACCCUGUUGUGAAAACGAGUCAUGAGUCAUGAGUACAGAGUUCGGUUCAGGACCCA